This 45-nucleotide non-coding RNA is filed under the name Schistosoma bovis. Lineage: Eukaryota; Metazoa; Platyhelminthes; Trematoda; Strigeidida; Schistosomatidae. The record is from RNAcentral. RNAcentral also lists the same sequence under 1 other name.
AUCCAGCUGAAGAGUCCCAGAUAGGACGAAACGCGCACCAUGGAU